UUCAAUAAAAGUCGGGGAGAUCUCAGAUACUAAUUGCCAUUCUCCACUCUUUAGCCUCCAUACACAUAACUUAGCAUCUAAACCUUCAUCAGAGACUAUGUUCAUAUACAUGAGAAAUCCUUGACUAGUUGUGCAUGUUCUUAUGAAUUCGCGAUGCUUUUCUAAAUCAGGGAAAUGAGUAACCCGACACUUAUCAGAAUUUGUUUCAAAAGCGUAAAAGUCGAUGGAUAUAACAACUUCUGUAUCCUCACUAUUGCGAACGAGCCAAUGAAGAUUUUCGUUUAAGCUAAUGGGAUGGUAAAAAUCACGA
Molecule: long non-coding RNA, 310 nt
Organism: Arabidopsis thaliana (thale cress)
Lineage: Eukaryota; Viridiplantae; Streptophyta; Magnoliopsida; Brassicales; Brassicaceae
Product: other RNA
Exons: 1
Source: RefSeq